Mya arenaria is the source of this 2311-nucleotide long non-coding RNA. RefSeq lists it as uncharacterized. The record is from RefSeq and is a predicted model, not a curated record. NCBI's taxonomy places the organism in Eukaryota, Metazoa, Mollusca, Bivalvia, Myida, Myidae. The transcript is spliced from 2 exons.
GACCGUUAAUUCAACCGCAAGCAUGCCAGUUGUAAACAAUAACAUGUUUUUAAAGAUAUAUUAUGAUAAGUUUUGCGUUUGGAAUUUCGAAAUAUCCGUGUAUAAAACAAGUACAAAUGAACUGUUCAGGAAGUUAGUAAGAACUCGGUCACAAAUAUUUUUGAAAACAUUGGAUAUUAUGCAGUGUGUACUAUAUUGAACUGUAAUUUUCUAAAUGUAUUACAUUUUUGAAAACUGACCCUUAGAGGUUUCUACGAAACAAUAAAUAUAUUUUAAAAAUGUAUUAUUCUUUGUUCUGUAUUUAAGAUACAAGCAGAAAAUAAGCUAGUUGUUUAUGAAUAGUAUGUGUAUGAACGUGUUCACCACAUGCGUCAAACAUGAGCCGCCACAUGUAUUGCAUCAUCAUUAACGGUCGAGGAAACAUUCCAAACACCAGGAGAAAAUAAAGGAACUUAUUAUUAAAACAGAUAUUCUUUCAAAGAACAACCAUGUGCUCUAUAUGAUAGCAGUCGAAUAGUGACGUAGGACGAACAUUAAUAAGAAGUCAUGGGAUUCGAUUAUCGUUUUCUAGUAGUAAUCGUGCUAAUGUUGACGGUUCUGUUGACGUUAACAUACGCCAAACGUCAAUAUUGUCAAAGUGUAGGCUGGAUUGGUUGUGUGGAUGUAGGGUGCGGAGAUGUGGGGGAUGGGGAAUGCAUCAAUCUUGGAGAUCCUCCACAUAACAACUGUGUCUGUGUUAUACGAUUUCGGAGAUAGCAGCAUGUGCAGGACUAAGAAAAAACGCUCAACUUAUUGAAAGUGUUUUAUGACUGUUCUGUUCAGUAAAUGAUUCCUUGUAAUUUUGCUAAUGGUGAAAACUGUACCUUUUCAAGAACAAGUAUGUGAUCUCUGACAUAUCUAUCUAUGUAUGUUUGUUAAUACCUGACUGUAAUCUAUUCCUUACGCUUUCGGAGACAUUUGCAACUUAGGAAAGGAACGAACAACAGUUGGAUGUAUUAAUCAUAAUUGGAGUUUUUAAAUUAUAAAUGAGACAAAUGUGUGAUUGUUAUACACUUGCUGACAUUUCAGUUGAAAUCAGUAAAAAUAGUGUUUUUUCAGACGGCUAUCAGUUUUUUGAAAUGAGUGUAGCUUUAUUAUGACAUGGAAAAAUCAGAACCAACUAUGUUUUAUAUAUCGUGUUUCAAUAAUACCAUGCCAGGAAUCUAAUAUCAUUCAUUCAUUCACACGCGGCAGAGGGAAAGACUUCCAUCUAUUUUUGAAAAAGUAAAUGUGCAUAGCUGAAUGGAGCUUACAACUAAAGUACACCAUAUAUCAAUCAAAAUAGUUCAUUCAUAUCAGACACUACCUAAAGGUACAUUGUGGCGUUGUCUGAUGUCAACAUACGCAAUGUUAUACGUGCAGCUUUAUAUAUGUCUCUCCAUAAUAUCUACCUCAUUAAUUCAUGAUAAUUGCCAAGUCUAGAAAGCAAGCAUGUGUGAUAAAAGAUGUUAGUAUAUAACUCAAAGGCUGCAUCAUAUUAAUGAAUCUCCUUUUGAAAGAAGAUGGAAAAGGCACAUAGUGCAAAAAUUGUAUUGAAUGUUAUUUAUGAAUGUUUAUUCAAUUUGUUUGCACAUAAUGUUAUGAUUGUAUUGUACAGUAAAACCCCUCUAUUCAGACCACCUGUGGGACUUUGAGGAAAUGGUCGUAAUAGCGGGGUGGUCUUAUUACUGAGUUUGUGCCGAUUUGUUUUGUGAACGGUCAAGGGGUCGAAUUCCUUGGAUUCUUAAUAUGUACGUGUACAUGCAUUACUCGGUAUAGGUAAUAUGGGUUUAUAGUAAAUUCUAAUCAAGCAGAGAAAAUAAAUAAACAGUUAUGUCUUUUAUUCAUUACAUCACUAAUAUUGUUGUUUAUUGUGUAUGUUUUCUCGAAUCGUAAUGCUUGAUGCUAUGUAUGAGUGUUGGGUGUUUUUACUCAAAGCGUAAUGUUUAAUGCUAUGUUUGAGUGUUUAUUGGGUGUUUUUACUUGUAGUGUAAUGUGUAAUGCUAUGUAUGAGUGUUAUUGGGUGUUUUUACUCAAAGUGUAAUGUUAAAUGCUAUGUAUGAGUGUUAAUUGGGUUUGUUUAAGCAUAUACUUAUGCAUGAACAUAUACUAUCAAAUUAUGUGAUAGUGCAAAAUAGACGUUAGUUUUGCAUCGUAUUUAUAUUUCUUGAUGUAAGACAAUUUAUAUUGGAACGUGCUUGUUUUGUCAUCGUUAUUUUUAUCAUUGCAUAAUUUUCAUUGUAUGAAUCUAUUUAAUUUCCGUGAGUUGAAUAAAUAUGUUUGAACUAAAUCA